This 91-nucleotide small nuclear RNA is filed under the name Ochotona princeps (American pika). The record is from RNAcentral. Lineage: Eukaryota; Metazoa; Chordata; Mammalia; Lagomorpha; Ochotonidae.
GUGCUCGCUUCGGCAGCACAUAUACUAAAAUUGGAACGAUACAGAGAUUAGCAUGGCCCUUGCGCAAGAAAUUGUUUAGUAUUCAAUUUAC